CCCUAGCCCCGAUGGAAGUGGAAAUCCUUUUGAUUUUUGCUGCCAAAAAGAAAAAGAUUGGAACAAACAGCGGGAUUAAGC
RNAcentral lists this small RNA (81 nucleotides) under Flavobacterium circumlabens. Its description in RNAcentral is "Flavo-1 RNA". It matches the Rfam family "Flavo-1 RNA". Lineage: Bacteria; Pseudomonadati; Bacteroidota; Flavobacteriia; Flavobacteriales; Flavobacteriaceae. The record is from RNAcentral.